Molecule: ribosomal RNA, 446 nt
Filed under: uncultured bacterium
Lineage: Bacteria
Description: partial 16S ribosomal RNA
Rfam family: Bacterial small subunit ribosomal RNA
Source: RNAcentral
CCUACGGGUGGCUGCAGUCGAGAAUCUUUCACAAUGGGCGAAACCCUGAUCCUGCGACGCCGCGUGGGGGAAUGAUGGUCUUCGGAUUGUAAACCCCUGUCAUGUGGGAGCAAAUUAAAAAGAUAGUACCACAAGAGGAAGAGACGGCUAACUCUGCGCCAGCAGCCGCGGUAAUACAGAGGUCUCAAGUGGUGUUCGGAAGCACUGGGCGUAAAGCGUGCGGAGGCUGUUUCGUAAGUCGUGUGUGAAAGGCGCGGGCUCAACCCGCGGACGGCAGAUGAUACUGCGAGACUAGAGUUAUGGAGGGGGAACCGGAAUGCUCGGUGUAGCAGUGAAAUGCGUAGAUAUCGAGAAGAACACUCGUGGCGAAGGCGGGUUCCUGGACAUUAACUGACGCUGAGGCACGAAGGCCAGGGGAGCGAAAGGGAUUAGAUACCCCAGUAGUC